GCGGAGGUGCCGGAGCGGUCAAACGGGACAGGCUUAGGACCUGUUAGCUUAGUGCUUACCCAGGUUCGAAUCCUGGCCUCCGCA
Molecule: transfer RNA, 84 nt
Filed under: archaeon GW2011_AR15
Lineage: Archaea
Also listed under: 1 other name
Description: tRNA-Leu
Rfam family: tRNA
About the family: Transfer RNA (tRNA) molecules are approximately 80 nucleotides in length. Their secondary structure includes four short double-helical elements and three loops (D, anti-codon, and T loops). Further hydrogen bonds mediate the characteristic L-shaped molecular structure. tRNAs have two regions of fundamental functional importance: the anti-codon, which is responsible for specific mRNA codon recognition, and the 3' end, to which the tRNAs corresponding amino acid is attached (by aminoacyl-tRNA synthetases). tRNAs cope with the degeneracy of the genetic code in two manners: having more than one tRNA (with a specific anti-codon) for a particular amino acid; and 'wobble' base-pairing, i.e. permitting non-standard base-pairing at the 3rd anti-codon position.
Source: RNAcentral